This 492-nucleotide ribosomal RNA is filed under the name uncultured bacterium. RNAcentral describes it as "partial 16S ribosomal RNA". It matches the Rfam family "Bacterial small subunit ribosomal RNA", at positions 29 to 507 of the family's 1533-position model. The record is from RNAcentral.
AGUGAACGCUGGCGGCAGGCCUAACACAUGCAAGUCGAACGGCAGCACAGUACGUGCUUGUGGUUACGGGGGGCGAGUCGCGGGCGUGAGACGUAAAUAUCCGAAUCUACUGUUUCGGGGGGCAUCACGUAGGGAGACUUACUACAAUAGCGCAUAUCAUGUACGUGGGAGAGGGUGGGAUCUUCGCCCCUUGCGCGAGUGGAUGCGCGGAUGUCGGAUUAGCUAGUUGGCGGGGUAAAGACCCAGCAAGGCGACGAUCUGUAGCUGGUGUGAGAGGAUGAUCAGCCACACUGGAACUGAGACACGGACCAGACUCCUACGGGAGGCAGCAGUGGGGAAUGUUGGACAAAGGGCGGAAGCCUGAUCCAGCCAUACCGCGUGGGUGAAGAAGGCCUUCGGGUUGUAAAGCCCUUUUGUUGGGAAAGAAAAGCAUCAGGUUAAUACCCCGCGGUUGUGACGGUACCGAAAGAAUAAGCACCGGCUAACUACGUG